CCUACGGGGGGCAGCAGUGAGGAAUAUUGGUCAAUGGGCGAGAGCCUGAACCAGCCAAGUAGCGUGCAGGAUGACGGCCCUAUGGGUUGUAAACUGCUUUUAUAAGGGAAUAAAGUGAGCCUCGUGAGGCUUUUUGCAUGUACCUUAUGAAUAAGGACCGGCUAAUUCCGUGCCAGCAGCCGCGGUAAUACGGAAGGUCCGGGCGUUAUCCGGAUUUAUUGGGUUUAAAGGGAGCGUAGGCCGGAGAUUAAGCGUGUUGUGAAAUGUAGAUGCUCAACAUCUGCACUGCAGCGCGAACUGGUUUCCUUGAGUACGCACAAAGUGGGCGGAAUUCGUGGUGUAGCGGUGAAAUGCUUAGAUAUCACGAAGAACUCCGAUUGCGAAGGCAGCUCACUGGAGCGCAACUGACGCUGAAGCUCGAAAGUGCGGGUAUCGAACAGGAUUAGAUACCCGAGUAGUC
Molecule: ribosomal RNA, 460 nt
Filed under: Salmonella enterica subsp. enterica serovar Lubbock
Lineage: Bacteria; Pseudomonadati; Pseudomonadota; Gammaproteobacteria; Enterobacterales; Enterobacteriaceae
Description: bacterial SSU rRNA
Rfam family: Bacterial small subunit ribosomal RNA
Source: RNAcentral